CUAUGUUUUGAUAUAGUUAUAAAGCCAGCAAAUACGAAUAUCUCAUAAAACUAGUAAAUGCACAGGGUAAUAAAUAAAUACGGACGUCAAAUCUGUUGUCUGUUCUCUCUUGGUAGCGUGAAUAAAUAAUCAAUAGUAAAACAAUGAUACGUUUAUUAAACAUCUAGAACUGCCGAUAUAUUUCCAUACAAGUACAAUAUUCCAACAAUAAUAUAUAAUAAACAUAUACCGGGCGAAGAUACUUAAAUAAUAUUCUUACUUGUAUUUUCGUACGGGUCAAACGGGAUUAUCUUAAAUAUAACAAUGACAAUAUAAAUAAAAUGCAAAGCAUACAGCUAUCUGCGCUGCUUCUUACCUCUAAAUUAUAACCCUUACUUGUAAUAUAAAAUGCGAGGGAUACAGCUAAUGCGCUGCUUCUUACCUCUAGGAACCCCCGGGACGAGCCUUGCUGCAAGCCAAAAGUAAACACAGCAAAGACUGACGAACGUGACGUUGCACUCGUAUUUAUUUUAAAUUACCGGAAGUAAAUAUUCUAAGCAGGAAGAAAAACAACGUAAAACGCUUACAUAAAAUAUAGGAGUCCUCGACUCAAAAUGCUUAUAAUAAUACAACCUUAUAAAUAAACAAAUCUAGACAUAUCAAUUCUUCCAGUUAAUAACUCAUAAAUGAACACUUUUGGGUUCACGCUUAAAAUAUUGACCCAACGGUAACGUUCUGAACAAUGCAUGACGAAGUUGCGCCAUAUAGGACGUUAUCGAUACAGCUAAUAACAUAAAGUAAAACGUACGUUAAUUACUCGUUCAAUAUACUAAAUACUAGAAAUAACUUCAGACAACUGAUAUAAACUCUCUUAAUACAAUAAUAACAAUAUUCCUUUACUUGGAAAUAACCAAUAUACACAUUUACAACACUGCCCCUCCCCCAGAAUACAUUUCGUCCUUGAAAUAUGGUCCUCAGUGUCAAUUCUGAGAGUACAUUUAAAAUUCUUUUCACAUCAAUCCUCUAUCAUACAAAUAAAACAUUUUUUUGCUCAUCCCCAAUUUAUAAAAAACAAACAAAUAUUUAAGCUAACUUUAAACUUAAACAUACAUCAACAAACUACUGCGCCUGUCAAUGUCAUCUUAAAAAAAAACAAUAUCUGCGUCAACAAACUAAUGCGCCUGUUUAUUCUUAAAAGGCAAAAUAUACAUUUCAACUAAUUAAAAAUUUCCUUCAAUGUAUAAAUAUCUUCUCUUAUGCUAAUAUAACAAUAAAGUAUCUCAUGAAAAAAUGAAAGUUCUAUUUUUUCAUCCAGUUAGAGCACUAAUAUACUCUAUUAAAAGUUCAAUCCAAGAUUCUCUAUUCUAUCAGACGCUGGAAUUAUAACUUCUUCUAAACACCCGGCUAUAAACUAUAAGCCGGCAGAUGUCCUAUCAAGUACUAUACCACAGUCAAGGGUACCACCGUGUAUAAAUAUAUACACAACCUCGAUACUGAUGCACCAUGCAAACAUAAGUAAAAAAAUUAGUACAAAAGAAUAAAAAAAAUGGUCAUCAGUAUUCCCCGAGAAAUAUCUAAAAUGGUGUAGACUAUAGCUCAGCAUACCCAUGGUGUCACCUAAAUGUAUAUUGCAAUCAAGACUAAUCAUUAGCCUUAACUUAUUCUCGCACCAAAAUAAAAAUGGCACCUAAAGUAU
RNAcentral lists this long non-coding RNA (1675 nucleotides) under Mytilus galloprovincialis (Mediterranean mussel). Lineage: Eukaryota; Metazoa; Mollusca; Bivalvia; Mytilida; Mytilidae. The record is from RNAcentral.